CAGUCCUACGGGGCGCAGCAGUGAGGAAUAUUGGUCAAUGGGCGGGAGCCUGAACCAGCCAAGUCGCGUGAAGGAAGAAGGUACUUAGUAUUGUAAACCUCUUUUGUCGGGGAGCAAAGAGAGUCACGUGUGACUCAUUGAGAGUACCCGAAGAAAAAGCAUCGGCUAACUCCGUGCCAGCAGCCGCGGUAAUACGGAGGAUGCGAGCGUUAUCCGGAUUUAUUGGGUUUAAAGGGU
RNAcentral lists this ribosomal RNA (237 nucleotides) under uncultured bacterium. Its description in RNAcentral is "partial 16S ribosomal RNA". It matches the Rfam family "Bacterial small subunit ribosomal RNA", at positions 334 to 568 of the family's 1533-position model. The record is from RNAcentral.